This 2507-nucleotide ribosomal RNA is filed under the name Salmonella enterica subsp. enterica serovar Choleraesuis. RNAcentral's name for it is "partial 23S ribosomal RNA". It matches the Rfam family "Bacterial large subunit ribosomal RNA", at positions 542 to 2925 of the family's 2925-position model. Lineage: Bacteria; Pseudomonadati; Pseudomonadota; Gammaproteobacteria; Enterobacterales; Enterobacteriaceae. The record is from RNAcentral.
AAAAGAACCUGAAACCGUGUACGUACAAGCAGUGGGAGCCCCACCACCAAAGCAUUCUCUGGUGUUGAAGGCCCUGCAAAGCAGCAUCGCGGUGGCGGAGCGUCGUUUGCGACGCCCAACACACAAAACAAGCGGUGAGUGCUUUGGGGUGGGGUGACUGCGUACCUUUUGUAUAAUGGGUCAGCGACUUAUAUUCUGUAGCAAGGUUAACCGUAUAGGGGAGCCGUAGGGAAACCGAGUCUUAACCGGGCGUUAAGUUGCAGGGUAUAGACCCGAAACCCGGUGAUCUAGCCAUGGGCAGGUUGAAGGUUGGGUAACACUAACUGGAGGACCGAACCGACUAAUGUUGAAAAAUUAGCGGAUGACCUGUGGCUGGGGGUGAAAGGCCAAUCAAACCGGGAGAUAGCUGGUUCUCCCCGAAAGCUAUUUAGGUAGCGCCUCGUGAAUUCAUCUCCGGGGGUAGAGCACUGUUUCGGCUAGGGGGCCAUCCCGGCUUACCAACCCGAUGCAAACUGCGAAUACCGGAGAAUGUUAUCACGGGAGACACACGGCGGGUGCUAACGUCCGUCGUGAAGAGGGAAACAACCCAGACCGCCAGCUAAGGUCCCAAAGUCAUGGUUAAGUGGGAAACGAUGUGGGAAGGCCCAGACAGCCAGGAUGUUGGCUUAGAAGCAGCCAUCAUUUAAAGAAAGCGUAAUAGCUCACUGGUCGAGUCGGCCUGCGCGGAAGAUGUAACGGGGCUAAACCAUGCACCGAAGCUGCGGCAGCGACGCUGAUGCGUUGUUGGGUAGGGGAGCGUUCUGUAAGCCUGUGAAGGUGGCCUGUGAGGGUUGCUGGAGGUAUCAGAAGUGCGAAUGCUGACAUAAGUAACGAUAAAGCGGGUGAAAAGCCCGCUCGCCGGAAGACCAAGGGUUCCUGUCCAACGUUAAUCGGGGCAGGGUGAGUCGACCCCUAAGGCGAGGCCGAAAGGCGUAGUCGAUGGGAAACGGGUUAAUAUUCCCGUACUUGGUGUUACUGCGAAGGGGGGACGGAGAAGGCUAUGUUGGCCGGGCGACGGUUGUCCCGGUUUAAGCGUGUAGGUGUGUGUUCCAGGUAAAUCCGGUUCACUUUAACACUGAGGCGUGAUGACGAGGCACUACGGUGCUGAAGCAACAAAUGCCCUGCUUCCAGGAAAAGCCUCUAAGCAUCAGGUAACAUCAAAUCGUACCCCAAACCGACACAGGUGGUCAGGUAGAGAAUACCAAGGCGCUUGAGAGAACUCGGGUGAAGGAACUAGGCAAAAUGGUGCCGUAACUUCGGGAGAAGGCACGCUGACACGUAGGUGAAGUGAUUUACUCAUGGAGCUGAAGUCAGUCGAAGAUACCAGCUGGCUGCAACUGUUUAUUAAAAACACAGCACUGUGCAAACACGAAAGUGGACGUAUACGGUGUGACGCCUGCCCGGUGCCGGAAGGUUAAUUGAUGGGGUCAGCGCAAGCGAAGCUCCUGAUCGAAGCCCCGGUAAACGGCGGCCGUAACUAUAACGGUCCUAAGGUAGCGAAAUUCCUUGUCGGGUAAGUUCCGACCUGCACGAAUGGCGUAAUGAUGGCCAGGCUGUCUCCACCCGAGACUCAGUGAAAUUGAACUCGCUGUGAAGAUGCAGUGUACCCGCGGCAAGACGGAAAGACCCCGUGAACCUUUACUAUAGCUUGACACUGAACAUUGAGCCUUGAUGUGUAGGAUAGGUGGGAGGCUUUGAAGCGUGGACGCCAGUCUGCAUGGAGCCGGCCUUGAAAUACCACCCUUUAAUGUUUGAUGUUCUAACGUGGACCCGUGAUCCGGGUUGCGGACAGUGUCUGGUGGGUAGUUUGACUGGGGCGGUCUCCUCCUAAAGAGUAACGGAGGAGCACGAAGGUUGGCUAAUCCUGGUCGGACAUCAGGAGGUUAGUGCAAUGGCAUAAGCCAGCUUGACUGCGAGCGUGACGGCGCGAGCAGGUGCGAAAGCAGGUCAUAGUGAUCCGGUGGUUCUGAAUGGAAGGGCCAUCGCUCAACGGAUAAAAGGUACUCCGGGGAUAACAGGCUGAUACCGCCCAAGAGUUCAUAUCGACGGCGGUGUUUGGCACCUCGAUGUCGGCUCAUCACAUCCUGGGGCUGAAGUAGGUCCCAAGGGUAUGGCUGUUCGCCAUUUAAAGUGGUACGCGAGCUGGGUUUAGAACGUCGUGAGACAGUUCGGUCCCUAUCUGCCGUGGGCGCUGGAGAACUGAGGGGGGCUGCUCCUAGUACGAGAGGACCGGAGUGGACGCAUCACUGGUGUUCGGGUUGUCAUGCCAAUGGCACUGCCCGGUAGCUAAAUGCGGAAGAGAUAAGUGCUGAAAGCAUCUAAGCACGAAACUUGCCCCGAGAUGAGUUCUCCCUGAGACUUAGAGUCUCCUGAAGGAACGUUGAAGACGACGACGUUGAUAGGCCGGGUGUGUAAGCGCAGCGAUGCGUUGAGCUAACCGGUACUAAUGAACCGUGAGGCUUAACCUU